Molecule: long non-coding RNA, 506 nt
Organism: Malaclemys terrapin pileata
Lineage: Eukaryota; Metazoa; Chordata; Testudines; Emydidae
Exons: 3
Source: RefSeq, a predicted model, not a curated record
GGCACAAAAUAGCUACAGCAACAGGGAAUACCAAAGCUCUGCCAGCCAUCAGCUGUUCAGUCUGUUCCAUUUUGUUUCAACUACUGCCUGGAAACCUAAGUGAUCACAUGUAAGUACUGUGUGUCUGAUAGCUGUACACCGAUGAGUUUUUAGGUUGAGUCCCUGAGCGUGUGCUAGCUUCCUGCAAGAAGUGGGAAAGUAAAGUAUAGCUUCGAGAACUGCUUCAAAGUCAUUCCUGACAGGCUCCUCUUUUUGCAGGUUCCCUCCUCCUGCUCAGUAAGUGAUGUCCUUGGUUUGAGUGACGCCCUUGAAACGUUGAUCUGGAUCAGUAGUGGCUGGCUCUAUAUUCAAAGUGAAUCAUGCUGUGCAAAACUGACAUCUUUAGAUCUGGCAAAAGAUCAUAUCCUUGCUAUCAUGAAGCAGAAAGAAAGUAGCUGUGGCAAUCAACCUCUCCUGAACCUUUGGGACAAAGAUGGAGGAUGACCCACACUGGUAAACUAACCUAG